Long non-coding RNA from Sphaeramia orbicularis (orbiculate cardinalfish), 812 nucleotides. RefSeq lists it as uncharacterized. The record is from RefSeq and is a predicted model, not a curated record. The transcript is spliced from 2 exons. NCBI's taxonomy places the organism in Eukaryota, Metazoa, Chordata, Actinopteri, Kurtiformes, Apogonidae.
UUCUUCCUUUCUUCUUUCUAAUGUUUUAAUGGUAUUACCCCAAAUAGCACAGCCAAUUGAGAGUAAAAUCAAAGCUGCAGUGCUUGAUAGUUUUUUUUAUAUGUCCAGAAUAACCUUUCAGCCUAUGUCCACACUAAUUCUGUUUAAAUUUACAUCUUUUGCUGUGAUUACACCUGGUGUCCACACUACCUUAACAAGAUUAAAGAUUAACAAGUAUAGAAACUCUGAAUCUGUAUUGUGGUGGGGACAGGUGAUAACACACAAUGCAGGUAUUAUUCCAUUAGUCUCCUGUCAUUCCCAUGUCCAGUAUUGUUAUCAUGUAAUCUGCAUUUCAUUUGUGUAAGACUGUCUGGACAUUUUUUAGAUUAGAUAGAACUUUAUUGAUCCCUUAGGCAGAGUCCAUGGAAAAUUAAAGUUGCAGUAGUGGCACAACAUUGAAUGUACAGAUAUAAGAAGAAUUGAAAAAGAAAAAAAUAACUGUAACCAUAAAAGCAGUUGUCAAAACAGGCAAUGGCACAUUGCAAGUACUAGUAGCAAUAAAUAAUAUAGUAAUAAUAAUAAUAAAUAGUAAUGUUCUUAUUAUAAAUGUAUAACUUAUCAUAGAAAUAAUAAUCAUAGUAAUAGCAGUCAUAACAACAAUAUAAGUAAUAAGUAAUGUAAGUAUUUAAGAAGUAAUAAUAGUAAUAACAGUAAUAAUCAUCAUCACUAAGAAAACUAAAUUAACAACAAACAUUGAAAACUGGUUUAGCAAAGUUUUCUGAAGCUUUGAUUAACUGUACUGUGAAGAUUGUUUUAAUUGUAAUCAGUUGGUU